UUUCCGUAGGUGAACCUGCGGAAGGAUCAUUAAUUAUAUAAGGCCACAGGGCAAGCUCUCCGAAAGGAUCGAGCUUGCUGUGUGAACCCUACCUACCCUUGCUUUUUGCGUACCCAUUGUUUCCUCGGCAGGCUUGCCUGCCAGUAGGACCCUCUUAAACCCUUUGUAAUUGCAGUCAGCGUCAGAAACAACGUAAUCGUUACAACUUUCAACAACGGAUCUCUUGGUUCUG
Molecule: unclassified non-coding RNA, 232 nt
Filed under: plant metagenome
Description: partial contains small subunit ribosomal RNA, internal transcribed spacer 1, and 5.8S ribosomal RNA
Source: RNAcentral